CGAAGGAAAAUGAACGGAAAAUGGAGCGGUCAAGAAACAACAUCGAAGAUUUAGGGUUGUCAAUGGAUAACGCAACCCAUGGACUUGCGUUGUACCACUG
Molecule: long non-coding RNA, 100 nt
Organism: Cucurbita moschata (crookneck pumpkin)
Lineage: Eukaryota; Viridiplantae; Streptophyta; Magnoliopsida; Cucurbitales; Cucurbitaceae
Exons: 3
Source: RefSeq, a predicted model, not a curated record